CCUCAUGAGGCUUCAUCUCACCAUCACUACUGAAAAGAAACACACCAGAAAAAUACCAAGCAGCUGCCAUGUGGUGACCUUCAUCAGUGACAAGGUGUGUCAGGGGUAAUAUAGAAGCCAACCUCCCGGGUUAUGGUACUGGAUGCAGCGAUGUGGGUGUUAAUUGAGCUCCCUAUAAAAGCAGUUGGAGUUACACCUGCAGUGGAGAAAGGUGAGGCUGUGUUACUGCUUACACAUGGUUUCUGUUUGAGAGUUAAUGAGGUGUUUUCUUGCCGGGUUUCAACCUCUGGAAGGAAGACGGAGAGAAAGAAAAUGAGUUUUGGGGGGUGCUCACAUCUGGACGUUUCUCCUCCGCCUACCGAAGGCCUUGGCGCCGACGUUGGUGGGGACGAAGUUGCUGUUGCCCAUCCCCCCCGAUCGGCUGAGGAAGUCCGCCAGGCGGAGCAGCUUGUGAGCAGUACAUCUGGCAAAUGACCAGGGCGUAGGCAACGAGGAAAGCAGAGAUCUUCAACAUAACCAUGGUCCCCUGCACGGCGAGAAAGACAACCACCACAUCAGCCCCAUGUGCACAGAAACAGCUGCCACUCACUCCUACUCACACAUCCCUGAAAUAAAUACUCAAGAUCCUGACAAAAACUUCUGAGAGUCUAGAGUCGAUACAGCAACCUUUGAAGCCACAGCAGAAGUCAACACAGUCACUGUGGCGUAAGUUAUUAGUGGAGGCACGACGACUGCAGCUUUUAUAGUGAUAUUGGAAGAAGACAUGUUCUGCUAUAUGUCAUCUUAAUGGCUCAGCUCUGGUGGGCCAAUUUAGGGAAAUGUACACCUGUAGAAAAGACGCACACACAUGUGAAUAGUGCUCAUGUUAAUGGAUGUACAUGUCUGCUGUGCAAUAUGUCAAUAUAAUGACCCAGCUCGUUCAGGAGAUGAUGUAUGAACACGCUUCAGCCCGUGCACAAACACAGUGGUAUCAGUGCAAAGGCUCAAAAGCAAGGCAAUAUGUCAACUUAGUUUAUAAAGGAUGUUUGUGGUGAAGUGUAAUAUAUUUUAAAAACAUGUAGGAAGUCAUGGGAGAGCUUUUAAAGGAGGGCAGCAAAACAAAGGAUAUAUUUGUCCAGGGAAGAUCCUCUUAGAUUUAUAACGUCACUUAAGGUCUAUAUGAUCAACUACUUUAUCUACAGAGAGUCUUUGGACUUCCCAGCACUUUACCAGACAAGCUGUGUGUUGCAUGGUGAUGUCUUAUAGCUACAAUAUCACACCUCAAGUCCUUUUAAGUCUCAGGUGACCCAGCUAGACAAGUUUUCUGUGCUUAAAACUUAAACUUCAAACUUACCUUUUUAAUCUAGCUUUUAAUUUUGAGUAAUUUAUUUUCCGCCCUGGA
Molecule: long non-coding RNA, 1381 nt
Organism: Notolabrus celidotus (New Zealand spotty)
Lineage: Eukaryota; Metazoa; Chordata; Actinopteri; Labriformes; Labridae
Exons: 7
Source: RefSeq, a predicted model, not a curated record